GGCGGGCGGAGCGCCGCCGCCGACGCACACGAGGUGACCAGGCAUUGAUGCACCCCCAGGAAGGCCACGGGCUCAGGAGGCCCCCCCGCCCCGCUGGCUGCUGCUCACAUGGUGUCUGGGCCCUUGGCACUCACUGCAGCUCUGACCAAGUGGAGAUCUUCUCCAGCCUGCUGCAGCGCUCCAUGUCCCUGAACAUCGGUGGGGCCAAGGGGAGCAUGAACCGGCAUGUGGCGGCCAUCGGGCCCCGCUUCAAGCUGCUGACCCUGGGGCUGUCCCUCCUGCAUGCCGAUGUGGUUCCAAAUGUGCUUCGCGAGAAGAUCUACUCCACUGCCUUUGACUACUUCAGGUACUCCCCCAAGAUGUGCUGUGCGGCAUCCAGGGACGGCCCAGCCCCUCCAAGUGCUCCAUCGCCCCAGACCCCCAGGAACCGCCAUGUUCUCAGAUAAGAAGUACCUGACCGCCAGCCAGCUUGUUCCCCCAGCUGACAUCGGCGACCUCCGGGAGCAGUUAGUAGAGGAGAACACAGGCUCCUUGUCGGGCCCAGCGAAGGACUUUUACCAGCGGGAGUUUGAUUUCUUUAACAAGAUCACCAACGUGUCGGCUGUCAUCAAGCCCUACCCUAAAGGCGACCAGAGAAAGAAGGCUUGUCUGUCGGCCCUGUCUGAAGUGACGGUGCAGCCAGGCUGCUCCCUGCCCAGCAACCCUGAAGCCAUUGUGCUGGACGUCGACUACAAGUCUGGGACCCCGAUGUAGAGUGCUGCAAAAGCCCCAUAUCUGGCCAAGUUCAAGGUGAAGCGAUGUGGAGUUAGUGAACUUGAA
Molecule: long non-coding RNA, 819 nt
Filed under: Homo sapiens (human)
Lineage: Eukaryota; Metazoa; Chordata; Mammalia; Primates; Hominidae
Description: non-protein coding lnc-GGTLC3-4:1
Source: RNAcentral